This 429-nucleotide ribosomal RNA is filed under the name uncultured bacterium. RNAcentral's name for it is "bacterial SSU rRNA". It matches the Rfam family "Bacterial small subunit ribosomal RNA", at positions 28 to 484 of the family's 1533-position model. The record is from RNAcentral.
GAUGAACGCUGGCGGCGUGCCUAACACAUGCAAGUCGAGCGAUCUUCUUCGGAAGAGAGCGGCGGACGGGUGAGUAACGCGUGGGUAACCUGCCCUGUACACACGGAUAACAUACCGAAAGGUAUGCUAAUACGAGAUAAUAUGCUUUUGUCGCAUGGUAGAAGUAUCAAAGCUCCGGCGGUACAGGAUGGACCCGCGUCUGAUUAGCUAGUUGGUAAGGUAACGGCUUACCAAGGCGACGAUCAGUAGCCGACCUGAGAGGGUGAUCGGCCACAUUGGAACUGAGACACGGUCCAAACUCCUACGGGAGGCAGCAGUGGGGAAUAUUGCACAAUGGGCGAAAGCCUGAUGCAGCAACGCCGCGUGAGCGAUGAAGGCCUUCGGGUCGUAAAGCUCUGUCCUCAAGGAAGAUAAUGACGGUACUUGAGG